This 244-nucleotide unclassified non-coding RNA is filed under the name uncultured fungus. RNAcentral's name for it is "partial contains 5.8S ribosomal RNA, internal transcribed spacer 2, and large subunit ribosomal RNA". The record is from RNAcentral. Lineage: Eukaryota; Fungi.
AACGCACAUUGCGCCCCUUGGUAUUCCAUGGGGCAUGCCUGUUCGAGCGUCAUUUACACCCUCAAGCUCUGCUUGGUGUUGGGCGUCUGUCCCGCCUCGUGCGUGGACUCGCCCCAAAGGUAUUGGCAGCGGUCGUGCCAGCUUCUCGCGCAGCAUACGCGCUACGGAGGCGGGUCGGUCGGCGUCCACAAGCUCAUUUUACCCGUUUGACCUCGGAUCAGGUAGGGAUACCCGCUGAACUUAA